AUUGAACGCUGGCGGCAGGCCUAACACAUGCAAGUCGAACGAGUGGCGGACGGGUGCGUAAUGUCUGGGAAACUGCCUGAUGGAGGGGGAUAACUACUGGAAACGUUAGCUAAUACCGCAUACCAUCAGAUGUGCCCAGAUGGGAUUAGCUAGUUGGGUGGGUAACGGCGCACCAGGGCGACGAUCCCUAGCUGGUCUGAGAGGAUGACCAGCCACACUGGAACAGAGACACGGUCCAGACUCCUACGGUAGGCAGCAGUGGGGAAGAUUGCACAAUGGGCGCAAGCCUGAUGCAGCCAUGCCGCGUGUAUGAAGAAGGCCGUCGGGUUGUAAAGUACUUUCAGCGGGGAGGCGUUACCCGCAGAAGAAGCACCGGCUAACUCCGUGCCAGCCGCCGCGGUAAUUC
Molecule: ribosomal RNA, 406 nt
Filed under: uncultured bacterium
Lineage: Bacteria
Description: partial 16S ribosomal RNA
Rfam family: Bacterial small subunit ribosomal RNA
Source: RNAcentral